UACAGAGGGUGCAAGCGUUGUUCGGAAUUAUUGGGCGUAAAGGGCGCGUAGGCGGCGCGGGAAGUCAACGGUGAAAGUUCAGGGCUCAACCCUGAAUCGGCCGUCGAUACUCUCGUGCUUGAGCACUGUAGAGGCAGGUGGAAUUCCGGGUGUAGCGGUGGAAUGCGUAGAGAUCCGGAAGAACACCGGUGGCGAAGGCGGCCUGCUGGGCAGUA
RNAcentral lists this ribosomal RNA (215 nucleotides) under uncultured prokaryote. RNAcentral describes it as "partial 16S ribosomal RNA". It matches the Rfam family "Bacterial small subunit ribosomal RNA", at positions 524 to 738 of the family's 1533-position model. The record is from RNAcentral.